CAGCCCCCAGACCCUGAACAGCACUGGCCACUACACGGAGCCACCACCCUGGCCCUGGCCUGGGUGGGUGGGGGUCCCCCGGGGAGCACAGCGCAGUGCUAGGGCCCCUGUAGCAGAUUCCCAGGAGACACACACCCAGCUGGGCCUGCUGACACUAGCCCUGCAUUCCCACACCCCCUCCCCUGGCCCUCUCAGCUGCCUUGUCCUCUCCUGGUCAGCUGCCUGGGGACACUGUCACGAUGCCUGGCCCCUGACCUUGCCCGAAGCUCCUCGGUGUCUGGACAUUCAGCCCGACAUGCUCUGAGGUUUGGGGCAGGUCCAGCACUCUGUGGGUCCACCCCAUCAGCCCUCAGGGUGGGACUCAUGCAGCCACAGUUUGAGAGUUCCAGGAACCACAAGUCCUGAGUCAGCGGGCACCUGACCCCUUAUGUCACCUGCCCCAGGUGGAAGGAGACGCUACAGGGACCAAGCAUGCCCCACCUUCGCUUCCGGGACCACAGAGCCCCUGGAGCCUGCACGCCACGGAGUCUCCCACUGAGGAGUGAGGAGGCCUCUUGUGGGGACAGAUCUGGAAUGAGUGGCAUCCAAACCUGACUCAUAUUUCCAACUUUAUUAAUUUUUGCAAGACUUCGGAGGGUGCUCUGUGGCGAUUAAUAUUGCUGAGCUGAGCACAGCUGCAGUACUUUCCUGUAAAACUGACUAAAGGAGAAGUUGGUGUCUUCCUCAUACAAGAAAUACAUAAAUCAGUUAAAAAUAGUUCUCCGAGCGGAUAUGAUGAUGUCGUGGCCGUCACAGGAAACACAUGAAUCAGCCUCAUCCUCAGUUCCAGGGAAGUGGGGACAGUCGGUGGUCCUUGGACCCCUCUUGGGGCGCGUGGGUGAGGCAGGGUCCCUCUGGCUUUACCUCAUACCCGGACUGGCAAAGCUGCCUGGGAGGACAACUAAAACCAUGCUCCUUUGAUUCUGUGGACAUUGCUAAUUGCUGGGCGUUCAUUUCUUGAAUUCAGACCUUCUCAUGAACCAGAGGAGCUGGCUCAGAAAAAUGCCGGUGACGCAUGGGCCUGAACUGGUCAGUGCAGCUCAGAGAUGCUCGCCGUGGGGGACGUGCAGUUUGCCUGUGGGCCAGUUGUCCACCCGUCACCGUUACCCCGCUGAGGAAGCUGUGGGUGCCACCCAGAGAGCUUGGGUACAACACGGUCUCUGCUUUACUCAUAAAAAGCCAAGACCUAUGUGGUCAUGGAGCGUUAAAACAGAAAUUUCACACCACGCCGUACGGUCCCCGAGGCCAGGGUGUUGGCACAUUUCACAUCCAGGAGGUGCCGUCGCUGUCACUGGCUCAGCAAAGCCAGUGCCGAAGCCACUGCAACUGCCUGAGGCCCAGCGGUGGCUGGGAGCCAAUUGGUGUCACUCGGUUACCACAGGGAAGGAGACGUGGCUGUAGAGGCUUGUCG
Molecule: long non-coding RNA, 1450 nt
Filed under: Homo sapiens (human)
Lineage: Eukaryota; Metazoa; Chordata; Mammalia; Primates; Hominidae
Description: HSALNT0246649
Source: RNAcentral